ACUUAGCCACAGCACUAUGUGAGGAAAGAAGACGCCUGCUACCUAGGCUUAAUGUAAAAUUAGGUAUAAACAUCGCUGGUGUAUAACUAGAGGUGGGUUUUUUUUUUAGUACGUAUGCGUGAUGAGCUUCAACUUGUUGAAGUAAAUUCAUGAAUCGUGCAUGCUAAAAGGGAGUGGCUCCCUUUUGGUAUCUUUUGAAGAUUUCCCUUCCUCUGCGAUC
RNAcentral lists this small RNA (220 nucleotides) under Drosophila guanche. It matches the Rfam family "R2 RNA element". From Rfam's summary of the family: This family represents the 3' UTR region of the R2 retrotransposable element. This family is known to interact with the R2-encoded reverse transcriptase in a reaction known as target primed reverse transcription (TPRT). Lineage: Eukaryota; Metazoa; Arthropoda; Insecta; Diptera; Drosophilidae. The record is from RNAcentral.